AGGGUCGUAGCACAAUCGGUAGUGCACUGGUCUCCAAAACCAGGGGUUGUGGGUUCGAGUCCCGCCGGCCCUGCCA
This 76-nucleotide transfer RNA is filed under the name Myxococcales bacterium. RNAcentral's name for it is "tRNA-Trp". It matches the Rfam family "tRNA". Rfam says of the family: Transfer RNA (tRNA) molecules are approximately 80 nucleotides in length. Their secondary structure includes four short double-helical elements and three loops (D, anti-codon, and T loops). Lineage: Bacteria; Pseudomonadati; Myxococcota; Myxococcia; Myxococcales. The record is from RNAcentral.